CACGUAGGGCGCAAGCGUUGUCUGGAAUUAUUGGGCGUAAAGAGCUCGUAGGCGGUCUGUUACGUCUGCUGUGAAAACCCGGGGCUUAACCCUGGGCUUGCAGUGGAUACGGGCAGACUAGAGGCAGGUAGGGGAGAAUGGAAUUCCCGGUGUAGCGGUGAAAUGCGCAGAUAUCGGGAGGAACACCGGUGGCGAAGGCGGUUCUCUGGGCCUGACCUGACGCUGAGGAGCGAAAGCGUGGGGAGCGAACAGG
This 253-nucleotide ribosomal RNA is filed under the name uncultured bacterium. RNAcentral describes it as "partial 16S ribosomal RNA". It matches the Rfam family "Bacterial small subunit ribosomal RNA", at positions 524 to 776 of the family's 1533-position model. The record is from RNAcentral.